GCUAGUAAUCGCGGAUCAGAAUGCCGCGGUGAAUACGUUCCCGGGUCUUGUACACACCGCCCGUCACACCAUGGGAGUCGGAAAAUGCCCGAAGUCUGUGACCCAACCUACCGGGGAAGGGGAGCAGCCCGAAGGGCAGGGUCGGGAUGACUGGGGGUGAAGUCGUAACAAGGUAAC
Molecule: ribosomal RNA, 177 nt
Filed under: uncultured bacterium
Lineage: Bacteria
Description: partial 16S ribosomal RNA
Rfam family: Bacterial small subunit ribosomal RNA
Source: RNAcentral